GGGGCCGCGGCCCGGGCGGGCGCGGCGGCCGGCAGCAGCGCGGCCGCGAGCGCGAGCGCGAGCGCGGCGAUGGAUCGUGCCAUCCGGCCACGC
Molecule: transfer RNA, 93 nt
Filed under: Actinomadura citrea
Lineage: Bacteria; Bacillati; Actinomycetota; Actinomycetes; Streptosporangiales; Thermomonosporaceae
Description: tRNA-Cys
Source: RNAcentral